UACGUAGGGUGCAAGCGUUGUCCGGAAUUAUUGGGCGUAAAGAGCUCGUAGGCGGUCUGUCACGUCGGCUGUGAAAUCCCGAGGCUCAACCUCGGGUCUGCAGUCGAUACGGGCAAACUAGAGUAUUGCAGGGGAGACUGGAAUUCCUGGUGUAGCGGUGAAAUGCGCAGAUAUCAGGAGGAACACCGGUGGCGAAGGCGGGUCUCUGGGCAAUAACUGACGCUCAGGCGCGAUAGCGUGGGGAUCAAACAGG
Molecule: ribosomal RNA, 253 nt
Filed under: uncultured bacterium
Lineage: Bacteria
Description: partial 16S ribosomal RNA
Rfam family: Bacterial small subunit ribosomal RNA
Source: RNAcentral